Molecule: ribosomal RNA, 142 nt
Filed under: Candidatus Moraniibacteriota bacterium
Lineage: Bacteria; Candidatus Moraniibacteriota
Description: Candidatus Moranbacteria bacterium partial 23S ribosomal RNA
Rfam family: Bacterial large subunit ribosomal RNA
Source: RNAcentral
AUAAAAGAAAGAGGUUACGAAAGAGCGUAUAGUGGAUGCCUUGGUUGAGGCGAGCGAUGAAGGGCGUAGUUGGGUGCGAUAAGCUUCGGGGAGUUACCAAACAAACUGUGAUCCGGAGAUUUCCGAAUGGGGAAACCCUUCC